AAUAGCUAUAACCUUUGAACUAGAACAAGUAUUUUCAAAAAUAAUUUGUUAACCCGCUAGUCAAGUAAUAUUCUCAGUUUCUUGAAUAUGCUGAAUAUUUAAUAUUUCUAUAUUUACUAUGAACUAUCUCAUUCCAAUUUUAACCUUAAAUAAAUAGAACUGUAUCGUCAAAAAAAGCUAUAUUUCCAUUUAAGUCUAGUUAAAUCCAAUAAUUUACAUAAUGUGAAAACAGUAUAGGACCUAAAACAGAAACCAAUUACAAAACUGAACUAAUAUCGUGUUGGAACAAGGGGUGAUAUUUUAUUAUUUAUGCGCCCACCGGUUUUGUGCUAAUUUGGUCGUGUAUUGGAACAAACCUAAUGGUUAUUUUCUCCAUGCCACAGUUCGUUAGUAUAGUUUUUUUUACCAUAUCAGAAAUAGCUAUAACCUUUGAACUAAAAGAUGCAUUUUCAAAAAUAAUAUGCCCAUCCGAUAGUCGAAUACUAUCCAAAGUUUCUUGAAUAUCUUUUCCAAUAUUAACUUUUU
This is a non-coding RNA of Cinara cedri, 525 nucleotides long. The record is from the annotation of a GenBank genome assembly. NCBI's taxonomy places the organism in Eukaryota, Metazoa, Arthropoda, Insecta, Hemiptera, Aphididae.